Molecule: transfer RNA, 68 nt
Filed under: Batillaria sp. FK-2009
Lineage: Eukaryota; Metazoa; Mollusca; Gastropoda; Batillariidae
Description: tRNA-Val
Rfam family: tRNA
About the family: Transfer RNA (tRNA) molecules are approximately 80 nucleotides in length. Their secondary structure includes four short double-helical elements and three loops (D, anti-codon, and T loops). Further hydrogen bonds mediate the characteristic L-shaped molecular structure. tRNAs have two regions of fundamental functional importance: the anti-codon, which is responsible for specific mRNA codon recognition, and the 3' end, to which the tRNAs corresponding amino acid is attached (by aminoacyl-tRNA synthetases). tRNAs cope with the degeneracy of the genetic code in two manners: having more than one tRNA (with a specific anti-codon) for a particular amino acid; and 'wobble' base-pairing, i.e. permitting non-standard base-pairing at the 3rd anti-codon position.
Source: RNAcentral
GUGAGAUAUAGCAUAAAUUAAUGCAUUUCGUUUACACUGAAAUUAUGCCUACACACAGGCUGUCUUAA